GUCCACGCCGUAAACGAUGGAUACUAGCUGUUGGGAGCAAUUUCAGUGGCUAAGCGAAAGUGAUAAGUAUCCCACCUGGGGAGUACGUUCGCAAGAAUGAAACUCAAAGGAAUUGACGGGGGCCCCGCACAAGCGGUGGAGCAUGUGGUUUAAUUCGAUGAUACGCGAGGAACCUUACCAAGGCUUAAAUGUAGUUUGACCGUUUUGGAAACAGAACUUUCGCAAGACAAAUUACAAGGUGCUGCAUGGUUGUCGU
Molecule: ribosomal RNA, 256 nt
Filed under: uncultured bacterium
Lineage: Bacteria
Description: partial 16S ribosomal RNA
Rfam family: Bacterial small subunit ribosomal RNA
Source: RNAcentral